Molecule: ribosomal RNA, 253 nt
Filed under: uncultured prokaryote
Description: partial 16S ribosomal RNA
Rfam family: Bacterial small subunit ribosomal RNA
Source: RNAcentral
UACGGAGGGUGCAAGCGUUGCUCGGAAUCAUUGGGCGUAAAGCGCGUGUAGGCGGCCAACUAAGUCUGAUGUGAAAUCCCACGGCUCAACCGUGGAAGUGCACUCGAAACUGCGCAGCUAGAGUCCUGGAGAGGAAGGUGGAAUGCUUGGUGUAGAGGUGAAAUUCGUAGAUAUCAAGCGGAACACCGGUGGCGAAGGCGGCCUUCUGGACAGUGACUGACGCUGAGAUGCGAAAGCGUGGGGAGCAAACAGG